AUCUCAUCUAUGUACACACAAUUACUAAGGGGUUUCUAUAUUACUGCUUCCGAAUCCUAAGAGAUGAGGUAAUAAGCAGAAAGUCUUUUGACUUGCCACUUCCCUUAUAGCUCAAAUUAAAAUCCAAAAGAAUUACCACAACUUGAGAAGCAUUCUCCGUUGAAAUAUUGAUUAGAAAAGUAUGCCUACAGUAAGCAAACAGAAUGAAGGGCCCAUGUAUACCAUUUUCUCGAGGAUAGACUUGAGGCAGAGACAGCUUUAAUUUCGCAACCCUUAAGCGGAAAACUUGUCUGGGAACCAUCUGUGCUGGUCAAAAUAAGAGCUCGAUGCUUUAUUUUUGCAUACUUGCGAACGGGAUAAACCUCCAAGAACUCCUUUUUUUUCUUUUGCUCUUUCGAAAAUUUUUCUUUUGGUACUUUUUCUGGUUCCAAAACCCAAACGUAUCCCUGAGAAGCACAGAAAUAAGCUAGCACAUUAAAAAAAACAAAAAGCCUACUUUAAACUGCCAUAUUUCUCCAGCAUAAUCUCCUUUAACUAAUUUCAACAAUUUUUUUAUUUUCACCUGUCUAUUAUUUAUUUUCAUGUCGCAUCAGUCUGUACACAUAAAAUUUGAAUAAGAAUUUGUAACACAAUAUCACUAAGAACGAUAAAUAAAUAAAAUGCUGAAAAUUUCCUGAAAAAUUCAAUUAAUUUACCGAGCAAAAUUAGUUCAAAUUGAAGAAUCAU
This 726-nucleotide long non-coding RNA is filed under the name Citrus x clementina. RNAcentral describes it as "Citrus clementina (C. clementina) long non-coding RNA (CCLE_LNC004148)". Lineage: Eukaryota; Viridiplantae; Streptophyta; Magnoliopsida; Sapindales; Rutaceae. The record is from RNAcentral.